GUAAUGAGCAUUGUUACAUGUAGCACUGGAUCGCAUAAACAUUUGUCGGCCAAUGCUCAUGUGACAAUCCUCUUUGCU
RNAcentral lists this microRNA precursor (78 nucleotides) under Nicotiana tabacum (common tobacco). RNAcentral's name for it is "MIR6145 microRNA precursor family". It matches the Rfam family "MIR6145 microRNA precursor family". Lineage: Eukaryota; Viridiplantae; Streptophyta; Magnoliopsida; Solanales; Solanaceae. The record is from Rfam by way of RNAcentral.